RNAcentral lists this transfer RNA (68 nucleotides) under Lachnospiraceae bacterium. RNAcentral's name for it is "tRNA-OTHER". It matches the Rfam family "tRNA". Rfam says of the family: Transfer RNA (tRNA) molecules are approximately 80 nucleotides in length. Their secondary structure includes four short double-helical elements and three loops (D, anti-codon, and T loops). The record is from RNAcentral. Lineage: Bacteria; Bacillati; Bacillota; Clostridia; Lachnospirales; Lachnospiraceae.
GGGAAGAUACCUCAAUGGUAGAGGCUAGACGAAAUAUAAAAAUGUGGGUUCGACCCCCACUCUUCCCA